This 421-nucleotide ribosomal RNA is filed under the name Verrucomicrobiota bacterium. RNAcentral's name for it is "Verrucomicrobia bacterium partial 16S ribosomal RNA". It matches the Rfam family "Bacterial small subunit ribosomal RNA", at positions 355 to 776 of the family's 1533-position model. The record is from RNAcentral. Lineage: Bacteria; Pseudomonadati; Verrucomicrobiota.
UGGGGGAUAUUGCACAAUGGGCGAAAGCCUGAUGCAGCGACGCCGCGUGGGGGAUGAAGGCUUUCGGGUUGUAAACCUCUUUCGCUAUCGAACAAGGCUCAUUUUUUGGUGGGUUGGGGGUAGGUGGAGAAGAAGCGCCGGCUAACUACGUGCCAGCAGCCGCGGUAAUACGUAGGGCGCGAGCGUUGUCCGGAAUUAUUGGGCGUAAAGGGCUUGUAGGCGGCUUGUUGCGCCUGCUGUGAAAACGCGGGGCUUAACUUCGCGCGUGCAGUGGGUACGGGCAGGCUUGAGUGUGGUAGGGGUGACUGGAAUUCCAGGUGUAGCGGUGGAAUGCGCAGAUAUCUGGAGGAACACCGAUGGCGAAGGCAGGUCACUGGGCCAUUACUGACGCUGAGGAGCGAAAGCAUGGGUAGCGAACAGG